UGGGGAAAUAUUGCACAAUGGGGGGAAACCCUGAUGCAGCGACGCCGCGUGAACGAAGAAGUAUUUCGGUAUGUAAAGUUCUAUCAGCAGGGAAGAUAAUGACGGUACCUGACUAAGAAGCACCGGCUAAAUACGUGCCAGCAGCCGCGGUAAUACGUAUGGUGCAAGCGUUAUCCGGAUUUUACUGGGUGUAAAGGGAGCGCAGGCGGUGCGGCAAGUCUGAUGUGAAAGCCCGGGGCUCAACCCCGGUACUGCAUUGGAAACUGUCGUACUAGAGUGUCGGAGGGGUAAGUGGAAUUCCUAGUGUAGCGGUGAAAUGCAUAGAUAUCACUCAGAACACCGAUUGCGAAGGCAUCUCGC
This 360-nucleotide ribosomal RNA is filed under the name uncultured Roseburia sp. RNAcentral's name for it is "bacterial SSU rRNA". It matches the Rfam family "Bacterial small subunit ribosomal RNA", at positions 354 to 729 of the family's 1533-position model. The record is from RNAcentral. Lineage: Bacteria; Bacillati; Bacillota; Clostridia; Lachnospirales; Lachnospiraceae.